This is a long non-coding RNA of Neopsephotus bourkii (Bourke's parrot), 860 nucleotides long. RefSeq lists it as uncharacterized. The transcript has 3 exons. The record is from RefSeq and is a predicted model, not a curated record. Lineage: Eukaryota; Metazoa; Chordata; Aves; Psittaciformes; Psittacidae.
UGCAGUAGCCCAAAUACCAGCCUGUAUUUGUUUGCUGCUGCUGCCGAAGCCUUCGACCUCAGCCUGCCCUUCUCUCCCUCAGUGCUGACAUUUGUGGAGCUCCAGAGCACGUGGAGCUGUGAGAUUGUGUCUGCCUCCCAGAGACUCUUCCAGCAGCACCAGUGGUGUUAGCACCAUGGACCAGGGAGACUGGCUGGCGGCGUUUAGAGGUGAUCCAAUGCCUGAACCUUCAACACAGCUUCCCAACUAAAUGCAACCACAUGCUGAGAAUGCUGCUAAGCUGCAAGAUGAGUCUUUCUCCACAUGUACCCUGCAAAGGAGGUCACAUCGUGCAACAGGACUCAGCUGUGAGCUUGAGCGAGAACAAAAGGGUGGUUGUUACCCCCAGGAGCUGUCAGUGAGCACCGGCACCCUCAGGGCUCUGGUGCCAGGGUUGUCACGGUGGGGCUGUGGUGUCUGAGCAUGAGGAUUUCCCCCAGACCCUCGCAGAGGGCUUUUCCAAAGGGAAAUAGCUCCUCACAACUGCCGGCUCCUUGCAGCUCCUGCUGUUAUGGCAAGGAGAAAACCAUCCCUAGUGGGGAGAGCUCAGCUCAGUGGCUCAAAAGGACCUGCAGACAACAGGAAAAACUCACCAGUAAUUAUGUGAUUCCAGCUUAUCCAGAGACAGAAUUUGACUUGGUAGAUCCCAGGACAGAGCAGUGAUUUCUGCAUCGCCCAGUACUGUACCUGAGGUCUCACUCCCAGCCUGAGGUAUCUGAUCUCCAUAAGGACAACAGGCUUUUCUUGGUGGGUGAUCUGUCAGAGCAACCCACUCUGCAAACCAUCAACGUCCCGAUGGUUGGGGAAGACUUUCUCUUUCU